Molecule: long non-coding RNA, 248 nt
Organism: Spea bombifrons (plains spadefoot toad)
Lineage: Eukaryota; Metazoa; Chordata; Amphibia; Anura; Pelobatidae
Exons: 3
Source: RefSeq, a predicted model, not a curated record
CUUCUGGUCUCCGGCAGAUGACGGGAGGAGAGCCCGAGAUGAUAGAAAGCGACGCCCCCCGGUUCUGGGGGUUUUAUUAGCUGAGCACCGUUCCCGGAGAUCCUUGGGGUCACAUUGAAGCGCUGUGCCCGGUCACUGAUGUAGCAGGACCUCGUGUUGGAACGGAACGCGGCUUCCUGUGGUGACCAGACAGGUUAUGACGGAUCGGCAGUUGCUGGAGAAUUAAUAAAGAUGGUGAAAUAACGAUA